AGCACUUUUACCUUGAGGGUCCUCUUUUUAUCUCUUUUAUUUGGAGAUUGAGCCUGUAGAUUGUUAGUCAGAAUUUGUGUUUGUUAGAUCCAGCUCUGCAAGUCGGUAGGCCACGUUCUAGCCUUCAUUGUGGAAGAAAUCUCUUUUACUCUUUCGUAUUGAGAUUGUUAGUCAUGGGUGUUAGGCACAGACUUCACCUGUACAGUUGGUCAUAUAGGUGGUGUCUGGAUUCAUAGAUGAUAUGACCUCAUCACAUCAUCUUGGGUGUGCCUCUAUG
Molecule: long non-coding RNA, 277 nt
Filed under: Elaeis guineensis (African oil palm)
Lineage: Eukaryota; Viridiplantae; Streptophyta; Magnoliopsida; Arecales; Arecaceae
Description: long non-coding RNA (EGUI_LNC013233)
Source: RNAcentral